Molecule: non-coding RNA, 503 nt
Organism: Aegilops tauschii subsp. strangulata
Lineage: Eukaryota; Viridiplantae; Streptophyta; Magnoliopsida; Poales; Poaceae
Source: RefSeq, a predicted model, not a curated record
ACAGUGCGUAGGACAGUUGCAUGUUGGGAGUAAGGGCACGAAAUCUCGAGGUAGAAAAAACAAUGAGCGAUGGACACCUGACGAGGUGACCAUACUGCUUAAAGGUAUCCGUAGAUAUGGUGAGGGGAAAUGGACAAAAGUGAAGAAAUGGUACUUCAGAAAAUCGGUUCGAACGGCAGUACAUCUGAAGGAUAAGUGGAGAAACCUACGCAAAGCUUGUGGAGGUCAGGUGUACCUCUCAAAAGUGGAAGACACAAAAUACUAUGUUCCAGCCGUUGGACGAAGAUUUGGUGUGACAGAUCAGAAAGCUAGCUAGGUCAUAGCCGGAUAACUGUUCAGCCUUUAGGCCGGUCCCAUGGUCAUCUGUUAAUAGUCGUACAUAAAUUUGUCAUGUCACUGAGAUAAUCUUUAGAUGAAAAAAUAUUUAACAUAGUGGAUCGUACUUUUACUGACACCAUCUUAGUCUAUUUGGAACAUGAGUGAGAAAUUUAGUGGUUUGUUAA